This 253-nucleotide ribosomal RNA is filed under the name uncultured bacterium. RNAcentral's name for it is "partial 16S ribosomal RNA". It matches the Rfam family "Bacterial small subunit ribosomal RNA", at positions 524 to 776 of the family's 1533-position model. The record is from RNAcentral.
UACGUAGGGGGCAAGCGUUGUCCGGAUUUAUUGGGCGUAAAGAGCGUGUAGGCGGCUAGAUAGGUCCGUUGUGAAAACUCGAGGCUCAACCUCGAGACGUCGAUGGAAACCAUCUGGCUAGAGUCCGGAAGAGGAGAGUGGAAUUCCUGGUGUAGCGGUGAAAUGCGCAGAUAUCAGGAGGAACACCGGUGGCGAAGGCGGCAUCCUGGACCGGCAUUGACGCUGAGGCGCGAAAGCCAGGGGAGCAAACGGG